RNAcentral lists this ribosomal RNA (199 nucleotides) under Enterobacter asburiae. RNAcentral describes it as "partial 16S ribosomal RNA". It matches the Rfam family "Bacterial small subunit ribosomal RNA", at positions 1 to 209 of the family's 1533-position model. The record is from RNAcentral. Lineage: Bacteria; Pseudomonadati; Pseudomonadota; Gammaproteobacteria; Enterobacterales; Enterobacteriaceae.
AAAUUGAAGAGUUUGAUCAUGGCUCAGAUUGAACGCUGGCGGCAGGCCUAACACAUGCAAGUCGAGCGGUAACACAGGGAGCUUGCUCCUGGGUGACGAGCGGCGGACGGGUGAGUAAUGUCUGGGAAACUGCCUGAUGGAGGGGGAUAACUACUGGAAACGGUAGCUAAUACCGCAUAACGUCGCAAGACCAAAGAGG